GCCCAGGGCGGCCGGGCCCACGACGCCGAAAGCGCCGCUGCGGUUGCCGCCUCGGAGGCUCCCCCGGGCCCCGGCGGCUGGACCCGGCGCGGGCGGGAGGCUCGGGCGGGCGGUCCGGCCCGGGACUCGGGUUUGGGCGACCAGGAGGUGCCGGUGGCCGCGCUCGGACCCGGUUCUCCAACGGAGGAGCUUUUUAACCUCUUUCCGGUGAGGUGGGAACUCAUCUUCAUGAUCGAAUUUAAAAGAACAAUGGAACCCUGACUACGUUUCAACAAAAAUAAAACUUGUUUUUUUCCCUCCUAUUGGGUGUUGGCUUUUAACUCUUUCAAAGCCGAUUUUGAAACGGCUGCAGUGAUACAUGCGAAGGUGACUUAAGAGAUUAAAAUUAAUUUGGUUGCUGUUGGUUCUGAACAAAUAAUGAGUUCUUUUAUUUGAGGUAUGCCAUUUUGAAGACUGAGACGUUGGAGUUUUAUCCUAGAGGAUAAAGGAA
Long non-coding RNA from Homo sapiens (human), 490 nucleotides. Ensembl annotates it as CHD2 adjacent suppressive regulatory RNA. Its record names the gene CHASERR. The record is from Ensembl. NCBI's taxonomy places the organism in Eukaryota, Metazoa, Chordata, Mammalia, Primates, Hominidae.